Molecule: non-coding RNA, 1183 nt
Organism: Lolium perenne
Lineage: Eukaryota; Viridiplantae; Streptophyta; Magnoliopsida; Poales; Poaceae
Source: RefSeq, a predicted model, not a curated record
ACGGCCAUGUUAUUGUUAGUGCAAGUUUCAGCUUCCAUGAGAUGCCCGAAAUGCUUUUGUUCGCCAGAUUCUGUUCAGGAGCCUUUUUCUGUAACUUGCUUGCUAUGGUGGCUGCCUUUUGGUGCUAUGAUAGCCAUACCCAGCUGUAGCUGUUGCCUGUAGCUUUAUUCAGAGCUCGUGUGCAGUAUAUGACACUGUUUUAUUUGUACUAGGUUGUAUGCAGUUAUGCACUUUUAUAACAUCUAACUUGUUUCUUGUCUAAUGUUUGAAUAACACAUUAUAUACUGAUGUUCAAAUUUAGCUAAUCCUAAUUCAUACAAUAUUAAUUUCAAUUGAGUGAACUUCUUACUCGAUUGCUUCUUCCCUUCUAUCCUCUGAAGUAUUUUUUAUGAUUGAUAAUUGAAUUUGUGAUGAUUCUAACUGAAAAUAUGUGCUUAAUGCAUGUUCUGGAUUAAACCGUGCUUCUAAACAUUUUGUACAUUGUGAGUUUGUGAUCUUUCAGACUUUCAAAAUCUGCGUGUGCAAUCGUACUAUGGAACUCUGAAUAGUUUUGUCAUCUAUUUGACUAAAGCGAAGUUAUGAUGCCUUAAACAACCUGAUCAUUUUAUCCUUUUUGUUCUCCUUGAAACCUGAUACUGAAAUUUCAGUGCUCCUUUUUGGUUCUACUUGAAACCUGAUACUGAAACCGGAUACUUACAUGCAGAUAUGGUUAAAUCCAUUCAUUACUAAAUCGAUUCUUUCCUAUCUGAAACCAAAACUAUUGCGUACAUGCUACUCGUGUGCUUUACGUUUUGUGUUUUUUUCUGAAUAUGACUCAAUUUUUGAUCGUACCUACUCAAGGGCACAAGGAUGAGUUCAACGGUGGAUGCUGCUGUAAGGAAAGGCUCUGUUGUCUUAACAAGGACGGAAAGUAUAACCGAAUACAUAAACAAGGGUGGACAACCCAGAUCUGGACCCAAAGACUUAGCUGGACAGGGUUGAAGUACACAAAAAACGCACAUAGUUUAUAGAGUUCAACUACCAUGGUAGCAAUGGACUCAACUCUGCUGGAUUGCUACAUUUUACUUUAGUUGCAUUUGAUGGAUAUUUGAUAUGAGAAUUAUGAUUUGUAUGAACCUACAUAUUAUACGUGUGGAUUUGAAUUUUGAAAUUCAAUGGUUGUAUUUUUUUAUGGUUGCGAUAA